CCUACGGGUGGCAGCAGUGAGGAAUAUUGGUCAAUGGCCGGAAGGCUGAACCAGCCAUGCCGCGUGAAGGUCAGUGCCCUAUGGGCGUUAAACUUCUUUUGUGCGGGAGCAAUAAUGGUCACGUGUGGCCAGACGAGAGUACCGUACGAAUAAGCAUCGGCUAACUCCGGGCCAGCAGCCGCGGUAAUACGGGGGAUGCAAGCGUUAUCCGGAUUUAUUGGGGUUAAAGGGUGCGUAGGCUGUGAGGUAAGUCAGCGGUGAAAUGCCCCCGCUCAACGGGGUGAAGUGCCAUUGAUACUGCCUUGCUGGAAUGCGGAUGCCGUGGGAGGAAUGUGUGGUGUAGCGGUGAAAUGCAUAGAUAUCACACAGAACACCGAUUGCGAAGGCAUCUCACGAAUCCGCGAUUGACGCUGAUGCACGAAAGCGUGGGUAUCAAAUAGGAUUAGAUACCCCAGUAGUC
This 460-nucleotide ribosomal RNA is filed under the name uncultured bacterium. RNAcentral describes it as "partial 16S ribosomal RNA". It matches the Rfam family "Bacterial small subunit ribosomal RNA", at positions 338 to 795 of the family's 1533-position model. The record is from RNAcentral.